AUGGGCGCCGAGGUGGAGGUCGUGGCCAGGGUGGCGCCGCCGAGGGCGCCGGGCAAGAAGAGGACCUCCACCACGCUGCUGCACCUGCUUCAGCUCGACAACCCCGACGGCGUCUUCGUCUUCGCCGCGGCGGCCAACAAGCUGCCGCCGCCGGAGCCGGAGCCCGAGGCCGAGAGCCUCAUCGACAAGAUCGCCUCCUGCUGCCGGGUCUUCACGUUCGCGGACGACGACGCCGCCGAGCGGGACGCCAAGCUGGAGCGGCUCGAGGAGGUGCUCGCCGCGGUGCGCUCCAGCGGCAAGAACCAGCCGCCCGGGCUGGACCACCUCGUCAUGGUCGCGCUGGUCAAGAUGUUCGCCGCCAACCUGUUCCGCACGAUGCCGCCGCCGGCAACGUGCCCGUCGGUGCUCGCCGAGGCGGCGGACGAGGAGGCCCCCUCGGCGUCCCUGCUCCCGUCGUGGCCGCACCUCCAGGCGGUCUACGACGUGCUCCUCGCCGUCAUCGCCGCGGCCGACGCCAAGGCCCUCCGCAACCACAUCGACCGCCCCUUCCUCACGGCGCUGCUGGCGCUGUUCGCCUCCGAGGAUCCCCGCGAGCGCGACCGUCUCAAGACCGCGUACCACCAGCUCUACGCCAAGCUGACCCCGGAGCGCGCCUUCAUGCGCCGCUCCAUGGCCGCCGCCCUGCUGGCCUCCGUCCACGAGUGCGGCGGCGGCGUGGCGGAGCUGCUGGAGAUCUGCGGCAGCAUCAUCAACGGCUUCGCGGUGCCGCUCAAGGAGGAGCACCGCGGGUUCCUGCUCCGGGUGCUGCUGCCGCUGCACCGCGCGCGCUGGCUGCACGCCUACCACCGCCAGCUCGUCUACUGCGUGCUGCAGUUCGUGCACAAGGAGCCGGGGCUGGCCGGCGCCGUCGUGGGGGGCAUCCUCCGGCGGUGGCCCGUGACCAACUGCCAGAAGGAGGUGCUGCUCAUCGACGAGCUGGAGGAGAUCGUGGACGCCCUGGACCAGCGCCAGUUCGACGCCCUCGCCGCGCCCAUCUGCUCCCGGAUCGCCCGCUGCGCCACCAGCUGCAGCUCCCAGGUGGCGGAGCGGGCGCUGUACGUGUGGAACAACGAGCGGUUCCUGGAGAUGGCGUCGGCCGGCGGCGCCAUGGAGCGCAUCCUGCCGCCCUUCGUCGCCAGCGUGGAGGACAACCUGGAGCGCCACUGGAGCAAGUGCGUGCAGCAGGUCACCGCCAGCGUCAAGGCGCUGCUCCUGCAGGUGGCGCCGGACCUCUACGACCGCUGCGCCGCCGACCUCGCCGCCAGCCGCGCCGAGGCGGACGCCCGGGCCGCCGCGCGCGACGCACGGUGGCAUAGGCUCGAGGCGGCCGCCGAGGCCAACGCCGACGCUGACCUGAGCAGUAGCUAA
This 1407-nucleotide ribosomal RNA is filed under the name Triticum aestivum (bread wheat). RNAcentral describes it as "partial small subunit ribosomal RNA". The record is from RNAcentral. Lineage: Eukaryota; Viridiplantae; Streptophyta; Magnoliopsida; Poales; Poaceae.